This 284-nucleotide RNase P RNA is filed under the name Mycoplasma sp. 1018B. RNAcentral's name for it is "RNase P RNA component class B". It matches the Rfam family "Bacterial RNase P class B". Rfam says of the family: Ribonuclease P (RNase P) is a ubiquitous endoribonuclease, found in archaea, bacteria and eukarya as well as chloroplasts and mitochondria. Its best characterised activity is the generation of mature 5'-ends of tRNAs by cleaving the 5'-leader elements of precursor-tRNAs. Cellular RNase Ps are ribonucleoproteins. The record is from RNAcentral. Lineage: Bacteria; Bacillati; Mycoplasmatota; Mollicutes; Mycoplasmatales; Mycoplasmataceae.
AGUAUCGGUCAACAGCUGUUUUAUAAAAAUAGAGGAAAGUCCACGCUAACACAAUCUGAGAUGAUUGUAGUGUUCAUGCUGAAUCUAAUAAAUUCAGGCUUAGACGACUAGUGCCACAGAGACGAGAAUUGUGAAACGCGGUAAACUCCAUGAGUUAGAAACCCAAAUAACGGUAGGGGAACUCUUUUAAGAGAAAUGAAUCAAAAAAGAGAAUUUAAAUAUUAAUAUUUAAAUUAGAUAAAUUGUUGACAUCUUAUUGGAAGAACAAAACGUGGCUUAUAGAU